This 468-nucleotide ribosomal RNA is filed under the name uncultured Acidovorax sp. RNAcentral's name for it is "bacterial SSU rRNA". It matches the Rfam family "Bacterial small subunit ribosomal RNA", at positions 910 to 1382 of the family's 1533-position model. Lineage: Bacteria; Pseudomonadati; Pseudomonadota; Betaproteobacteria; Burkholderiales; Comamonadaceae. The record is from RNAcentral.
UUGACGGGACCGCACAAGCGGUGGAUGAUGUGGUUAAUUCGAUGCAACGCGAAAACCUUACCCACCUUUGACAUGUACGGAAUCCUUUAGAGAUAGAGGAGUGCUCGAAAGAGAACCGUAACACAGGUGCUGCAUGGCUGUCGUCAGCUCGUGUCGUGAGAUGUUGGGUUAAGUCCCGCAACGAGCGCAACCCUUGUCAUUAGUUGCUACAUUCAGUUGGGCACUCUAAUGAGACUGCCGGUGACAAACCGGAGGAAGGUGGGGAUGACGUCAAGUCCUCAUGGCCCUUAUAGGUGGGGCUACACACGUCAUACAAUGGAUGGUACAAAGGGUCGCCAACCCGCGAGGGGGAGCCAAUCCCAUAAAGCCAUUCGUAGUCCGGAUCGCAGUCUGCAACUCGACUGCGUGAAGUCGGAAUCGCUAGUAAUCGUGGAUCAGAAUGUCACGGUGAAUACGUUCCCGGGUCUU